This is a long non-coding RNA of Zalophus californianus (California sea lion), 673 nucleotides long. NCBI's taxonomy places the organism in Eukaryota, Metazoa, Chordata, Mammalia, Carnivora, Otariidae. The record is from Ensembl.
UUAAUUUAUAAAUUUACAUUCAUUCACAAAAAGUUCUUAGGCUUAACUAGGCUGAUCUCACUGAGCCUAAUCAUAAAUGUCUUUGGAAAAAUUAUUAAUAUAGGGGAAUAUUCCAUAGUUUAUGUUAAUUUUCAAAAUAUGUAUUUUUAUUGACUAAUUGAGAUGAAUUACUGCCUAAGAAUAAUUCUUUGUAUGUGAAAAAUAAUCUGCUUAAAAUUUCUUUCUACAGAAUUCUAUAAAUCUGAAGACUAAACUUUAAAAUAAAAUCGUCAGAGGAAAGGAAUUGGUAGAAAUAAAACUGGAAACAUCCAGAAUCUUGAUGGUGUGCCAAACCAGAUGUCAACUGGAGCUCAACCAAAACCUAAAGCUAGACUGCCAAACCCAAUUUCAGCCAUAGAGUACCGGAUGUAUAAAGUUCACUGUCCUGUGGAACAUGUCUGAGGUACCAGUGCUGAGGUUUGAAUGUGGUCCUGGCUGCAAAAUACUGAGGGCAAGACCUCUCCCAGUGAUGGUGCUCUCUGACAAACGAAGCAAAGAGAGAGCAGCUACUUGUGCUAUGCGAUCAGUGUCUCCUAUUCCCCAAACUCAGCUAAGAAUGAAAGAUGGAGCCAAGAUUCAGCAAAAUUGGCUCAUAAAUACAAAAACUAAUUUCCUCUUCUAGAAGGAUCAAAAG